CCUACGGUGGGCAGCAGUGGGGAAUAUUGCACAAUGGGGGAAACCCUGAUGCAGCGACGCCGCGUGAGUGAAGAAGUAAUUCGUUAUGUAAAGCUCUAUCAGCAGGGAAGAAAAUGACGGUACCUGAGUAAGAAGCCCCGGCUAACUACGUGCCAGCAGCCGCGGUAAUACGUAGGGGGCAAGCGUUAUCCGGAUUUACUGGGUGUAAAGGGAGCGUAGACGGCAGUGCAAGUCUGGAGUGAAAGGCGGGGGCUCAACCCCCGGACUGCUCUGGAAACUGGUAGACUUGAGUGCAGGAGAGGAGAGUGGAAUUCCAUGUGUAGCGGUGAAAUGCGUAGAUAUAUGGAGGAACACCGGUGGCGAAAGCGGCUCUCUGGCCUGUAACUGACACUGAGGCUCGAAAGCGUGGGGAGCAAACAGGAUUAGAUACCCGAGUAGUC
RNAcentral lists this ribosomal RNA (440 nucleotides) under uncultured bacterium. RNAcentral's name for it is "partial 16S ribosomal RNA". It matches the Rfam family "Bacterial small subunit ribosomal RNA", at positions 338 to 795 of the family's 1533-position model. The record is from RNAcentral.